UACAGAGGGUGCAAGCGUUGUUCGGAAUCAUUGGGCGUAAAGGGCGCGUAGGCGGCUUAUCAAGUCAGGCGUGAAAUUCCCGGGCUCAACCUGGGGGCUGCGCUUGAUACUGAUUGGCUUGAAUGCGGGAGAGGAUAGUGGAAUUCCCAGUGUAGAGGUGAAAUUCGUAGAUAUUGGGAAGAACACCCGUGGCGAAGGCGGCUCUCUGGGACGGUACUGACGCUGAGACGCGAAAGCGUGGGGAGCGAACAGG
RNAcentral lists this ribosomal RNA (253 nucleotides) under uncultured bacterium. RNAcentral's name for it is "partial 16S ribosomal RNA". It matches the Rfam family "Bacterial small subunit ribosomal RNA", at positions 524 to 776 of the family's 1533-position model. The record is from RNAcentral.